Molecule: long non-coding RNA, 786 nt
Organism: Prosopis cineraria
Lineage: Eukaryota; Viridiplantae; Streptophyta; Magnoliopsida; Fabales; Fabaceae
Exons: 4
Source: RefSeq, a predicted model, not a curated record
UAUCUCUCUUUCUCUUCCCCUUCCCUGUCGCGUAGGCUUCAAUCUCACCUUGGUGUGCUUAUCCCCUCACCGCCAGCAAUUCACUACUCCUUUCCCUUUGUUGUUCGGCCAUUUCUGUCCAGAGAUUGAGGGCCUUCUCUUCUCCUUCUUCCAUGUUGGCCACUUGCUGAUUCAUGUUGGUUGCCAUGGUGUUUCGUUGAGGGUGUAUAAAAGAAGAGGGCAUUGAUAAGUGUUGAAAAGGAGAAAUCCUUGGGUUUUGAGAACUUGUCAGAACUUUCCAUGAAGCUUUAGGAACGUGUGUUUGUACAUAUAUCACAGGUUGGUCGCGUUAAAUUUUUAGGGCGUGACAAGAACAUCUCCGAUCAGUUGCACGCGCGAGAAAGAAGAAGACAAAGAAUUUCAACAGCAACGCACAACUCAGACUACCACAGGCAUAGACUUCCAACUGUUGAGGGGAAAGAAAAGAAAGGCUGAACAUACAUGCAAAACACACCUCUUUCAGCCACAGAAGCGGCAAAAAUCAGAGCAAAAAUUCAUCUCAGUACCAGACAGCAAACGGACGAACAGCAGAAACAAAGCAGUGAAGCAAGAGGCACACCGACGGUGAGGAGAAGAACACGCUGGAGGUGAGGAGGAAGGGUUCGACAGUGAGAAGAAGGGAGUAAUCUAAGGUCGGUGAAGAAGAGGUUUUGCGAAUGCUCUGUUUUUGCCUACUCUCGAAGACAAAAUCCGAUCAAAUAAAUUUUGGGGAAAAUAGCAAGAAAAAGCACAAAGAAAGUUACAAGG